This 414-nucleotide ribosomal RNA is filed under the name uncultured bacterium. RNAcentral describes it as "bacterial SSU rRNA". It matches the Rfam family "Bacterial small subunit ribosomal RNA", at positions 359 to 770 of the family's 1533-position model. The record is from RNAcentral.
GAAUAUUGGACAAUGGGCGGGAGCCUGAUCCAGCCAUGCCGCGUGCAGGAAGACUGCCCUAUGGGUUGUAAACUGCUUUUGUACGGGAAGAAACACCCCCUCGUGAGGGGGCUUGACGGUACCGUAAGAAUAAGGAUCGGCUAACUCCGUGCCAGCAGCCGCGGUAAUACGGAGGAUCCAAGCGUUAGCCGGAAUCAUUGGGUUUAAAGGGUCCGUAGGUGGACAAUUAAGUCAGAGGUGAAAUCCUGCAGCUCAACUGUAGAAUUGCCUUUGAUACUGGUUGUCUUGAAUUAUUGUGAAGUAGUUAGAAUAUGUAGUGUAGCGGUGAAAUGCAUAGAUAUUACAUAGAAUACCGAUUGCGAAGGCAGAUUACUAACAGUACAUUGACACUGAUGGACGAAAGCGUGGGGAGCG